RNAcentral lists this long non-coding RNA (279 nucleotides) under Gossypium barbadense (sea-island cotton). RNAcentral describes it as "long non-coding RNA (GBAR_LNC005563)". The record is from RNAcentral. Lineage: Eukaryota; Viridiplantae; Streptophyta; Magnoliopsida; Malvales; Malvaceae.
UUCUUUUGAUGAAAAAUGGAAGAUAGGUGAAGUUGAGCCAAACAAAUGAGCAUGCAUGUGCCUUAGAUGCUAAGGGAAAAAAUCGGCUAACAUGUUGUGCUUUAAAAUGAUGAAAUGGAGAUUAUACUUAAGUAAAAUCAUAUAUAUGUGAUGAUUGAUUGGUGAUAUACAUGUUUAGAUAACAAGCAUGCAAGUUAGGUGUGAAAGAGUGGUUUGGUAAUAAAUCUGCUUGGGACAGCAGCAGUAACGUGACUUUGGAAAAUCACCAUAAAUUGUGGG